This is a long non-coding RNA of Hemicordylus capensis (graceful crag lizard), 3357 nucleotides long. RefSeq lists it as uncharacterized. The record is from RefSeq and is a predicted model, not a curated record. Lineage: Eukaryota; Metazoa; Chordata; Lepidosauria; Squamata; Cordylidae. The transcript is spliced from 4 exons.
AUCCUUCAGCAGACAGCUAAGGAGAGGCCAACAGAUCAGGCAGCCAUUUUUCUGCAAUGGAAUUAAAUGGCCAACUGGGUUUUCCUUUGUUCCAAAAGGGGAUACUUGAUUUGAAAUGAAUCCACACCAUCCAUUUCAGGACUGCUCAGUGUUUGUGUUAAUGUCUGACAACAUUUAGAGGACUCAAAGGAAGAAGGAAGACUUUUAUAAAAAGAUCUGGAUUUUUCCCUUUGAAUUGGAACCCAUCUUUGUCUUGUUGUAUAUAACUAGGUCAUAGCACGCCCUUAUGUCAGCAGUAACAAUUUUGAGUUACAAAAAAAGUAAAUACAUGUUUUUUGUUUGCUUUUUUAAGGCUUUUAUCUAUUUGCCUAAGAGAUACAUUUUUAAAAUAUAGUUUCCUGUAUUAAACACUAAAUACCUGGCCAUCUUAAGUUAAAUCCUUUCGUGCUAACAAGGUAAUGUUUUAAUGUAGAUGUAGGAAAUGUGAAUUCUUGCCAAAAAAAAAGUCAUUAGGAUAAGCUUUUUUUCCUUUUACAUUGUGGAUGUCUUCUAACAACCUUUUUUGGUCAAUGGCAUAGACGACUCUAAAUGCCUGAACAAGAUCUGUUGACUUGCAAAGUUACGACAGAGAAGUGAUUUUACAGAACAUAACGUAUAUUUAGAAAUAGAUCUUUUUUUUUAAAAAGCCCCACAACUUCACCUUCAGAACUGCAUUCAACUAUGAUGUGCGGUCCAAGGAGGUCAUCCUCCAUAGUAUGGGAUUGCGAACUGAGCAUGCUCCAGACAGGACCAAUGAAAGAACUGCAGGUGUGACUAUAUACUGUGUAGGAGGCGACCCAGCCCCAGUUCUGGUUCUGUUUUUGCUCCACAAACAGGUCUGUUCCUUUGCUCUGGCAAAUUUUGGCCUUUACUGCUUGGCUAGCUAGUUUUUCCAUUCUUCUCUAUCCUCUUGGUUCUACUUUCUAGUAUUGUGCAAAGAGGGGAGAGAAGUCGGCUUUUGCUUUAUUUGGCUACUCUAAAUUCAGUUUGUGUUCUUAAUUCGGCUGUGUUUUGGCAUUUUUUGUUCCUUUUACUUUUGUUUUGCCGUUCGACUCAAUGGAGAAUGCUCACGUGGGCGCUCCACUCAAAGGCUCCCUAUCCGAGGGACCCGCUUCUGAUUGGAGGGCCCUACAGCCCUUCCAUGUGUCGGCUCCUCUGGAGGAGGACGACACCCUGAGCUCUCCCCUAGGCGAACGCUGUGCCUAGGAAUGGCCAGCUGUUCCCUCUGCCUCUUCUGGCCACUCUAAGAGCAGAAGAAGGCGAAGCAGAAAUCAAGCAACUCAAGGAUCUGGCUUUGAAGCGCUCUGCUGUCGCUAAAGCACGCUCGGCACCUGCCUCGGCUGUGCGCCUGAGCGAGCGGCUCCUGCUGCAGGCAGUUUGUCACAAGCAUUUGCCCUGCCACCUGCUGGAGCCCCAAAGGGGAGCCACCGACCCGCCACUGAACCAGGGCACCUGGCUCCCUUAUUUAUCGCCGGUCCCUCCUUUCACCUCCCUGGAGAAAGUGAUCGAGCUGCCCGAUGCGGGAACCAAGCUGGGGACCAGGCCUCCUCCUCCACUGCCUGGGGAUCAUGGAAGGAGAAAAUCUGAUAAUAUUUAAUAAAGGGCGUAACUGAAGACCAGGUAGCUGCUUUACAAAUUUCCUGCAAGGGCAUGCUGCCCGAGAACGCUGCAGAAGCAACCGCGCUACAUGUAGAAUGUGCCAUGAUCCCAGGCGGCCUUGGGUUGCACAAUCCUGCAACAGGUGGUCUGAUCCACAUCCUCUCUAGCCCGCCCUCUUAGACUCUAUUCUUAGCUUGGGUAUGUCCCAUACAAUGGAGGAUUACCUUCUCGGACUAUGGAAAAAGAUACAUUGGUCAUACCAUGAAGGGUUCUUUUUCAUAGCCGAGGAGGUCAUCCGGCCUGCCCGAAGAUGUGUUAUGCCAUUUGUUAUCGGGCCGUUAUUUUCUUUCAGGGAGGGCACGGUGUGUCUGGGCGGAAUUGACUUCUGGGACAUUUUAGUUAGUAGGCUUUGGUGGAUCAUUCUGUCUGUUUGCCUUGUUCUACUGUUUUCUAAUCUGCCUGUUUUCUCCUGUUCUCUGAGAGUACUGUGUAGGGGCUGGGUCGCCUCCUACACAGUAGCUAGCCACGCCUGCAGUUCUUUCAUUGGUCCUGUCUGGAGCAUGCUCAGUCCUCAAUCCCAUACUAUGGAGGAUGACUUCCUUGGCUGUGAAAAAGAACCCUUCAUGUGUGUCAGGCUGCUUUUCAAGGAAAACAAGUCUGGAGCCCUGUUGGAGACGCUGAAAAUAGACACUGGCCUCCUGCUCUUUCUGCACCACUUUGGUACUCCUGGGUCUUUUGCCUCUUGCUUCUUUCCUACUGGCAUUUCACCCCUGAACAUGUAGUUUUCUCAUAUAUUCAGCUCUAGAAGGCCAUCUAGUGGCAUGAGCAAGUCAAAGUGUAAAACCAUCUACAAGUUUAAAAACAUGUAAGUUGGUGAGCAUUAUUUCAAGGGGUGCCAUAUUGCCUGUAGGAAGAUAAACUACUCCCUUUUAUCCAAUAAGAAACUUUAUAUAAGGGGAGAGCAACUGGCCCUAUCCAUCCCCAGCACAGCAUCCCUCCAGUGGCUGUUGCUGUUGAUUUCUUGAUCAUGUUUCUUUGAUUGUGAGCCCUUUGGGGACAGGGAGCCAUUUUAUUUAUAUUGAUAUAAAUCUUUGGGAACUCUUGUUGAAAAGCAGUAUAUAAAUAUGUCAUUCAUAUUGUUCUUAUGAACAAAUAAAUCCCAUGUUCUGAAUUUGUUUGGGUGCAUGGACUACAGGAAUUCAUAUCGGCAGCACAGGGACAUUUUAGGUCAUGAGUCAUGACAUCUAUCUAGAAUCACUUGCUACUUACAUUUACAGCUGUUUGUACUCAGUGUUGUGAGCAGAGUUGCACUAUGGGCUGGUUUGCACACACACGGUCAUUGAUUAAUUACUGCAGCAUCAAGUGAUGACCUGCAUGUUUAAAUGAAACUUCACAGCAGUAACACUGCAGAAUUAACUGUCUCCUAAUUGGAUGUCCCCUAUGUCCCUCCCUGGACUUGGAGAUCUUCCUCAAAAGCCCUGCUCAGAGUGCCCCAGCCAAAUGAAGUGAAGCCGGGGUGGGAGGCGGGCUGCUAUGGCUACUUGCCUGGUGUCAUAGCUAUUUUCUUUUAGACACAAGGUUAAGAUCUUUGUUCACCCAACCAUUUAAAAUGGGUUUAAAUGUUUUUGUUGUAUUUAAUUGUAGUUUUAAUGUGUUUGUAUGUUUUAUUGUUUUGUGAACCACUGAGAAAGCCAAAAUAAAGUUUAUCAUGUCCGAGUA